This 253-nucleotide ribosomal RNA is filed under the name uncultured bacterium. RNAcentral's name for it is "partial 16S ribosomal RNA". It matches the Rfam family "Bacterial small subunit ribosomal RNA", at positions 524 to 776 of the family's 1533-position model. The record is from RNAcentral.
UACGUAGGGUCCAAGCGUUAUCCGGAAUCACUGGGCGUAAAGCGUGCGUAGGUGGCGUGUUAAGUGUGAUGUUAAAUCGUGUGGCUCAACCAUAUCGAUGUGUCGCAUACUGGCAUGCUAGAGGACAGCAGAGGCAAGUGGAAUUUGUAGUGUAGCAGUGAAAUGCGUAGAUAUUACAAGGAACACCAAUGGCGAAGGCAGCUCGCUGGGACGGUACUGACGCUGAGGCGCGAAAGCGUGGGGAGCAAACAGG